Amblyraja radiata (thorny skate) is the source of this 339-nucleotide long non-coding RNA. RefSeq lists it as uncharacterized. The transcript is spliced from 2 exons. The record is from RefSeq and is a predicted model, not a curated record. NCBI's taxonomy places the organism in Eukaryota, Metazoa, Chordata, Chondrichthyes, Rajiformes, Rajidae.
AUAUUGGGACCAGCAUCCAAGGAACUGGAGCUGGAAUGGAGUCUUUGGAAAUUUGAUAGAGAAGUCUGCCAAGGAUAAAUCAUAGCAGUGCACAAACUGCAGUGGAAAUGGAUCGUUCGACACGGGAACAGAAGACAGCAAAUCUAAACCACAGACAAUCCUGACGUGCGCAGAGUGGAAGUGUUAAAAUGCCAUUAAUGAAUCAGGAUCUGAGCAUGAAAUUACAAGUGGAUUGAAAUCCUGGAAGGAACUUUAUUACUUUUAGUCCACAUUAACAGAAACAACAGGACAACGAAGGUGUAAGACCAUUAUUGGAAAUUAAAUAAAGAGCAGCUGUUC